UACGGAGGGUGCAAGCGUUAUCCGGAUUUACUGGGUUUAAAGGGUGUGUAGGCGGACUUUUAAGUCAGUGGUGAAAUCUCCGGGCUCAACCCGGAAACUGCCAUUGAUACUAUUUGUCUUGAAUGUUGUUGAGGUGGGCGGAACGGGUCAUGUAGCGGUGAAAUGCAUAGAUAUGACCCGGAACACCGAUUGCGAAGGCAGCCCACUAAGCAACGAUUGACGCUGAGGCACGAAAGCGUGGGGAUCAAACAGG
Molecule: ribosomal RNA, 253 nt
Filed under: uncultured bacterium
Lineage: Bacteria
Description: partial 16S ribosomal RNA
Rfam family: Bacterial small subunit ribosomal RNA
Source: RNAcentral